This 497-nucleotide ribosomal RNA is filed under the name uncultured bacterium. RNAcentral describes it as "partial 16S ribosomal RNA". It matches the Rfam family "Bacterial small subunit ribosomal RNA", at positions 28 to 507 of the family's 1533-position model. The record is from RNAcentral.
GAUGAACGCUGGCGGCGUGCCUAAUACAUGCAAGUCGAGCGAACGGACGAGAAGCUUGCUUCUCUGAUGUUAGCGGCGGACGGGUGAGUAACACGUGGAUAACCUACCUAUAAGACUGGGAUAACUUCGGGAAACCGGAGCUAAUACCGGAUAAUAUUUUGAACCGCAUGGUUCAAAAGUAAAAGACGGUCUUGCUGUCACUUAUAGAUGGAUACGCGCUGCAUUAGCUAGUUGGUAAGGUAACGGCUUACCAAGGCAACGAUGCAUAGCCGACCUGAGAGGGUGAUCGGCCACACUGGAACUGAGACACGGUCCAGACUCCUACGGGAGGCAGCAGUAGGGAAUCUUCCGCAAUGGGCGAAAGCCUGACGGAGCAACGCCGCGUGAGUGAUGAAGGUCUUCGGAUCGUAAAACUCUGUUAUUAGGGAAGAACAUAUGUGUAAGUAACUGUGCACAUCUUGACGGUACCUAAUCAGAAAGCCACGGCUAACUACGUG